RNA transcript from Anopheles funestus (African malaria mosquito), 1018 nucleotides. It is a transcript of the gene named ER membrane protein complex subunit 7 homolog, with no coding region annotated. NCBI's taxonomy places the organism in Eukaryota, Metazoa, Arthropoda, Insecta, Diptera, Culicidae. The record is from RefSeq and is a predicted model, not a curated record. The transcript is spliced from 3 exons.
UUACAAAUGAAGUUCGCAAAAUAGAGCUGACAGCGGAAAAGAAAAUCAAUCGCAGAGUCACGUACAAGCAUUGAAAAUGAAAAUAUUGGAGUAUUGUUUGGUUACCGCUUUGCUGUGCCUAAUUUCUACGGCCGCCGACAAUGGGAUGGAGGAGUUCGAUGAUGCUGCUCGAUAUGCAAUCGAGGGCAAAGUGUAUCCACCAGAGUUGUACGGGGGAGACUCAGAACUCGGCUGGCAACUCGACACACAAAUAUCCAUCAACGGUGGUGAAUACAAGGGAUUUCUUCGGGAAGACGGCACUUUUCUGAUCAGCUCGGUGCCAUCCGGCAGUUAUGUGGUUGAAAUUGUAAAUCCGGACUAUUAUUACGAACCCGUGAGGGUAGAAAUCAAUCCCAAAGGAAAGUUCCGUGCUCGUAAGCUGAAUUAUGUUCAGCCAUCCCAAGUGCUGCAGCUGCCCUAUCCCCUGAAGCUGAAAGCUCUUACCCGAUUCCGGUAUUUCCAGCAGCGCGAACAGUGGAAAAUUACAGACUUUCUGUUUAAUCCGAUGGUGCUGAUGAUGAUAUUGCCAUUGGGUAUAAUGCUUAUUCUACCGAAAAUCAUGAGUGAUCCAGAAACGAAGAAGGAAAUGGAAAAUUUAAACUUAUCCAAGAUGACGAACGAUUUGCCCGAAUUCAGUGAAAUGCUUACUUCUUACUUCACUAGUGGUUCUGCUGGAGCUGCUGCAGCCGCUGCCAAAGCUGGAAAGGAGAAGGAUAAAGCCAAACCAAAGCAAAGCAAAAAGAAAAACUAAUCCAUCUUAGCACAUUGUAAAGGAGGACAAGAAAGAAUAUCGAAAAACGAGUUUUUAAUCAAUAAGCGCAUGGCAAUUGUUUGUUACUAAAGCCGCGGAAGUGUUAACCCAUUCCUAGCUUUCUCAGAUUAUUUUACCUGCAGCUAGAUUGUCAGUCUAACAUUUGAGAAAGCAGUCUACUAUCAAUAAACUUCUGGGCCACUUCCAUUUGCUGCAUGGUCGCAUCAA